RNAcentral lists this long non-coding RNA (445 nucleotides) under Setaria viridis. RNAcentral describes it as "long non-coding RNA (SVIR_LNC009506)". Lineage: Eukaryota; Viridiplantae; Streptophyta; Magnoliopsida; Poales; Poaceae. The record is from RNAcentral.
CCAGAUCUGCAUUCUGAGAGUGUAGGGACCUAAAUGACACCCGAGCCCAAAGUUUAGUGAGCCAAAUAUGCAUUUUGAGAGUACGGGGACCUAAGUGACACAUCCGGACAAGUUUAGGGACCAACCAUGCAUUUUACUCUUUCCUAUUGUAUAGUUGUAGUUUCUAAAACAUAUAAUUACCAAGUUUACUUUUUUUAGUGUGUCUUGAGGCAAUAUCCGAGUCGAUGUGUAACUAACACCGGUAUUGAUAUGCUGAUAUCCUUGCUGGACGACAACUAACACCGGUAGGAAUACAAUAAUAUUCAUAUCAUCUCUAGUGAAAUACUGAUUUGCAUACUUCGUUAUCCAAGCCAACUCUAUUUUGCUUAAGCAAGAAUAAACAUUUAUCCAUCCUAGUAUCCAUGCCAAUAGGGUUAUCCACCCCUCAUCCAUGUCAACUUCAAAU